RNAcentral lists this ribosomal RNA (498 nucleotides) under uncultured bacterium. Its description in RNAcentral is "partial 16S ribosomal RNA". It matches the Rfam family "Bacterial small subunit ribosomal RNA", at positions 30 to 523 of the family's 1533-position model. The record is from RNAcentral.
AUUGAACGCUGGCGGCAUGCCUUACACAUGCAAGUCGAACGGUAACAGGUCUUCGGAUGCUGACGAGUGGCGAACGGGUGAGUAAUACAUCGGAACGUGCCUAGUAGUGGGGGAUAACUACUCGAAAGAGUGGCUAAUACCGCAUGAGAUCUACGGUUGAAAGCAGGGGAUCGCAAGACCUUGUGCUACUAGAGCGGCCGAUGGCAGAUUAGGUAGUUGGUGGGAUAAAAGCUUACCAAGCCGACGAUCUGUAGCUGGUCUGAGAGGACGAUCAGCCACACUGGGACGGAGACACGGCCCAGACUCCUACGGGAGGCAGCAGUGGGGAAUUUUGGACAAUGGGCGCAAGCCUGAUCCAGCAAUGCCGCGUGCAGGAUGAAGGCCUUCGGGUUGUAAACUGCUUUUGUACGGAACGAAAAGCCCCGGGUUAAUACCCUGGGGUCAUGACGGUACCGUAAGAAUAAGCACCGGCUAACUACGUGCCAGCCGCCGCGGUAA